Molecule: microRNA, 22 nt
Filed under: Panagrellus redivivus
Lineage: Eukaryota; Metazoa; Nematoda; Chromadorea; Rhabditida; Panagrolaimidae
Description: prd-miR-7894-5p
Source: miRBase by way of RNAcentral
GCUAGUAGGUUGGCGACAUGCU